Oncorhynchus tshawytscha (Chinook salmon) is the source of this 1903-nucleotide long non-coding RNA. The record is from Ensembl. NCBI's taxonomy places the organism in Eukaryota, Metazoa, Chordata, Actinopteri, Salmoniformes, Salmonidae.
CACGGCUAGUUUUACCCAACACAUAGACACGGCUAGUUUUACCCAACACAUAGACACGGCUAGUUUUACCCAACACAUAGACACGGCUAGUUUUAGACACGGCUAGUUUUACCCAACACUUAGACACGGCUAGUUUUACCCAACACAUAGACACGGCUAGUUUUACCCAACACUUAGACACGGCUAGUUUUACCCAACACAUAGACACGGCUAGUUUUACCCAACACUUAGACACGGCUAGUUUUACCCAACACAUAGACACGGCUAGUUUUACCCAACACAUAGACACGGCUAGUUUUAACGUGAUAUUGCGCUCCAAAGGGAUAACUUUAAAUGACAUGUAGGUUCAUGAAAUAAUUGAAAGAGAACUGUGUGAUGGUUUAUUAGCCUAGUGCUUGUAAGUAUUAAGGAAAUCAUUCUCCAAAGUACAAGGUGUACAUUAUUAUGGGUUGAUCGUAUAGAAAUAUCAAACAUUCUUUCAACUCCAAAGCAACAGCCUGUCUAUGGUGCAGGAAGCACUGCCCUUUUCUACGACCAAGACAUCUGUUGGUAACUCUAAGCUUGUUAGGACAGCUCAUGGGGUCUCCUAAAUAUCUCUUGACUAGGUGGGGGACUGUUAUGACUAAAUAAGCUUCCUGCAUAGCUUUUAUUGUUACCCAUAAGAGUAGGAGUGAAAUGUCUCUUAGCACCUACGACCAAAUGUUUUACUCUGAGAUGCUUUGUGGAUACAGCCCCAAGGCGCAUAUUCAACAAGUGCAUCCGAGUAGGAGAUCUAGGAUCAGGUCCUCCCUGUCCAUAUAAACCUUGUGCAUUAUGAUUUAAAAGCCAAACUGAUCCUAGAGGCUCUUUGUGAUAUAGGCCCAGAAAGGGAUUGUGAUCAUUAUGUGGCUCAAGAUGUGGAUCAAUAACAAAUCAUUUACUUGAUAGAAUUCCUUUGUUUUGUUCAAUCAAACGGAGGCACAAGUAGAUUUGGUUUAAACGUAACACUGAGACAUCAGCUGUCCCGAACUGAGACAUGGAAAAUGUGUCAUUGAGCUGUUGUCUGUUCUGGUUUCUUUUUAUUCUGGGGUCAUGUCAUAUUUUCACAGGUAUGAUUCUGAUUGAUGGCUUUUAUAUAGGUCUGCAGACCUCAGCGUUUCUUAUUGGACAAGACCAGGUAGUCCCUCCCUGUUUCAGUCCAUUUUCUACCAUUUGCUGCCUAAUGAAUAGGGGUCUCUGUUCCAGUAUCCUUUAAUGUCACUAUAGCAUACCACUUAGAAUGUAUGCCCAAUAAAAAUGUACGUUCUAAGUAGUGUGUAAAUUUGGACAUCGGUUGAAGCGUCCUACACAGGCUCUGCAGGAGUUCACCCAGGUCCUACACAGGCUCUGCAGGAGUUCACCCAGGUCCUACACAGGCUCUGCAGGAGUUCACCCAGGUCCUACAGGAGUUCACCCAGGUCCUACACAGGCUCUGCAGGAGUUCAGCCAGGUCAAGUCGGGCACCACGUCUUUGACCUACAACCAAGCAGACUCAGCCAAGGGAGGAAAAGCAUGCAGACAGUUUUUUUGCAUAAUACAAGCAGGUUGAUGUGUGUAAUCUCUGGAUAAUCUGUAGCCAUUUUAGUAUUCUUCUCAGUGACAACUCAGCCUCCUGCAAUCCUCCCAACAAUAGACAAUCAACCGAGAAUGUCUCUAUGUACCCAUAUGUCUCUCUACCACCAGUAGUGUAUUGUCCAUGUCAUGUAAUAAAAUGGGGUCAUAUAUUGGGGGGUGUAUUUUACAUGGAUCUGCUUUGAAACACUACGCACGCCAUCAUGAUUGAGGUCCUUAUUUUUUCUAAAAGAGUUAUUGUAAAUAAAGAACCAUGAGUGCGGUACAUGUCUCAGCUGAUCUUUUAAAACUUGUCCUGUAUUCAUAAACCGUC